UUUGUACUCACCAAUACUAGCACAGUUCCCUCUCAAUUGACAGUUACUUGUAAAUAAUUCAAUGCAAUAAGUUCUCCGUGGAAAAUUAUUCAACAAAUUGAAUCCAAUUUCAGCAAGUUUAUUUGCUAAAAAUAUGUAAUACAAUAGUGCUUCGAAGAUAAAAAGUGUAUUGCCCAGCGAGCGAGAUGGUGGUCGGUCCCGUCGUGAUCUAGUUUUUGCGAGGAGGUUCCGCCGCGUUGUAAAAGGAACACUGCAAAAAUGUUAAUGUGGGUUAAUCAUUGUCACGACGCGAGUUAGCUAUAUCGGAUCCAGCAAGUUUUAGUUCCGGGCGAUAGGCCCGAGAAAUUAAUCGGCGAGGUGAAUCGAAAGUUAUCUAUGGGAUCGCUGGCAUUAAAUUAGAAGCUCGCUUGCUACGUUGCUCCGCUUGGAAGAUGCCUCUGGACUGACUCGAUGGACAUUUUUUAGAAGAGUUGCAAUUUCAUUACCUGAGGAUCAGUUGCUGUUGUAAAAUCAGGACGCAACGUCCUUUGAUGAGUUGUCCUACCUGCGGCGUCAGGUGAAAAGUCAGAAGAAGGAGAUGCAGUUGUCAUUUUGGAAGUGCUCGCUAAUAAAUCAAUUGAAACGGACGGAAAAGAUCUGGACAAUAAUCUGAAAAAGUCAUCAAGAACUCGAUACAUGCAACGCAAGAGCUGUUUAUGAAUGAGCUAGCUAGUACGAAGUCCGAUGCCACAAGUGGGGUGCUAUCGUUAUCUCGGUGUAAGCUGCGGUUUACCAAACUUGGAAGAGAAUCCAGCCGCCAAAGACGAGUUCGUCAUCGUGAUGAAUUAUUCACUACGCACGGUGAAAAUAUAUUUGAGAAGACGGAAGCUCUGAUAUUCAUUAAUUUGCUCCACGAGGCAAAUCUGAGAACGCUCACAGAAGAAGUUGGUCAUGGGAACCUAUGUCGCCACUAUCGGAGGUUCUUACUGGGAUGUGGUUGAUAUCCAAGCUGAAUAUCUUCAAGAAACGAUCCGCAAAAGAUGUGAGCAGUAUGCUGGUAAGGAAACCAAUCUGACUGAACCGAAAUCUGAAUGCCACUCCGAAGAAAUACCGUGAUAGCCGUAAAGCGGUAAAUUCUCCACUAGUCCACUGUGUGUUGUGUAAAUGUCCUGUCCGUUGUCUUAUGCUAGGUGUAAAGUAGGUAUUCAGUAUGUGCAACCUCUGGUCAAAGACGGUGAUCCUGUCUCUUUACCAAAAAUUGAUUUUACCUGGAUGCUGGCAGCGGCGGGUAGAAAACCAGCCACUGCCAAUAAUUCAUUCAUUCUCAUUGGAAACGUGAAAGGUUCACAUAAACAUAAUCUGCAGCCAUUCUUUCGCUUUAUUUUUUUUAUUAGGAGUAAGUGGGGUAACAUCGCCAUAUAAGGCAAGGUAGCUAUCGUUUAUUAUAUGACUUUAUAGUAAUAAUUAUGUUCACAUUAUUAUAAUGAUGGAUAAAUUGACAUUAUUGUAGAAAGUGUUAUAAUAAAACUAAAAAACGCA
Molecule: long non-coding RNA, 1518 nt
Organism: Armigeres subalbatus
Lineage: Eukaryota; Metazoa; Arthropoda; Insecta; Diptera; Culicidae
Exons: 2
Source: RefSeq, a predicted model, not a curated record